RNAcentral lists this ribosomal RNA (301 nucleotides) under uncultured bacterium. RNAcentral's name for it is "partial 16S ribosomal RNA". It matches the Rfam family "Bacterial small subunit ribosomal RNA", at positions 509 to 809 of the family's 1533-position model. The record is from RNAcentral.
CAGUAGCCGCGGGAAUACGAAGGGGGCUAGCGUUGUUCGGAUUUACUGGGCGUAAAGGGCGCGUAGGCGGACUGAUAAGUCAGGGGUGAAAUCCCAAGGCUCAACCUUGGAACUGCCUUUGAUACUGUUUGUCUUGAGUUCGAGAGAGGUAAGUGGAACUGCGAGUGUAGAGGUGAAAUUCGUAGAUAUUUGCAAGAACACCAGUGGCGAAGGCGGCUUACUGGCUCGAAACUGACGCUGAGGCGCGAAAGCGUGGGGAGCAAACAGGAUUAGAUACCCCAGUAGUCCCUGUCUCUUAUAU